RNAcentral lists this ribosomal RNA (565 nucleotides) under uncultured bacterium. RNAcentral's name for it is "partial 16S ribosomal RNA". It matches the Rfam family "Bacterial small subunit ribosomal RNA", at positions 355 to 912 of the family's 1533-position model. The record is from RNAcentral.
UGGGGAAUUUUGGACAAUGGGGGAAACCCUGAUCCAGCCAUCCCGCGUGUGCGAUGAAGGCCUUCGGGUUGUAAAGCACUUUUGGCAGGAAAGAAACGUCGCGGGUUAAUACCCCGCGAAACUGACGGUACCUGCAGAAUAAGCACCGGCUAACUACGUGCCAGCAGCCGCGGUAAUACGUAGGGUGCAAGCGUUAAUCGGAAUUACUGGGCGUAAAGCGUGCGCAGGCGGUUCGGAAAGAAAGAUGUGAAAUCCCAGAGCUUAACUUUGGAACUGCAUUUUUUAACUACCGGGCUAGAGUGUGUCAGAGGGAGGUGGAAUUCCGCGUGUAGCAGUGAAAUGCGUAGAUAUGCGGAGGAACACCGAUGGCGAAGGCAGCCUCCUGGGAUAACACUGACGCUCAUGCACGAAAGCGUGGGGAGCAAACAGGAUUAGAUACCCUGGUAGUCCACGCCCUAAACGAUGUCAACUAGCUGUUGGGGCCUUCGGGCCUUGGUAGCGCAGCUAACGCGUGAAGUUGACCGCCUGGGGAGUACGGUCGCAAGAUUAAAACUUAAAUGAAUUG